GACGAACGCUGGCGGCGUGCUUAACACAUGCAAGUCGAACGGAAAGGCCUUUUCGGCGGUACUCGAGUGGCGAACGGGUGAGUAACACGUGGGUGAUCUGCCCUGCACUCUGGGAUAAGCCUGGGAAACUGGGUCUAAUACCGGAUAGGACCGCACUUUAGUGUGUGUGGUGGAAAGUUUUUUCGGUGUAGGAUGAGCCCGCGGCCUAUCAGCUUGUUGGUGGGGUAAUGGCCUACCAAGGCGGCGACGGGUAGCCGGACUGAGAGGUUGGUCGGCCACAUUGGGACUGAGAUACGGCCCAGACGCCUACGGGAGGAAGCAGGGGGGAAUAGUGAACAAUGGGAGCAAGCCUGAUGCAGCGACGCCGCGUGGGGGAUGACGGCCUUCGGGUUGUAAACUCCUUUCGCCAGGGACGAAGCGUUUUGUGACGGUACCUGGAGAAGAAGCACCGGCUAACUACGUG
This 463-nucleotide ribosomal RNA is filed under the name uncultured bacterium. RNAcentral's name for it is "partial 16S ribosomal RNA". It matches the Rfam family "Bacterial small subunit ribosomal RNA", at positions 28 to 507 of the family's 1533-position model. The record is from RNAcentral.